Molecule: non-coding RNA, 417 nt
Filed under: Drosophila virilis
Lineage: Eukaryota; Metazoa; Arthropoda; Insecta; Diptera; Drosophilidae
Description: Eukaryotic large subunit ribosomal RNA
Rfam family: Eukaryotic large subunit ribosomal RNA
Source: Rfam by way of RNAcentral
CAACCUCAACUCAUAUGGGACUACCCCCUGAAUUUAAGCAUAUUAAUUAGGGGAGGAAAAGAAACUAACAAGGAUUUUCUUAGUAGCGGCGAGCGAAAAGAAAUCAGUUCAGCACUAAGUCACUUUGUCUAUAUGGCAAAUGUGAGAUGCAGUGUACGGAACAUCAGCAUUCUACUAUGACAAGUUAACGAUUUUAAGUCCUUCUUAAGUGAGGCCAUCUACCCAUACAGGGUGCCCGGCCCGUAUAACGUUUAAUGAUUACUAGAUGGUGUUUCCAAAGACUCGUGUUGCCUUGAUAGUGCAGCACUAAAGGGAGUUGUAAACUCCAUCUAAUACUCAUUUUCACCAUGGAGACCGAUAGUACACAAGGUCCGUGAGGGGACAGUUGUAAAGAACUCUGGAUAGAGAGUUAAUAUU